Molecule: ribosomal RNA, 484 nt
Filed under: uncultured bacterium
Lineage: Bacteria
Description: partial 16S ribosomal RNA
Rfam family: Bacterial small subunit ribosomal RNA
Source: RNAcentral
GACGAACGCUGGCGGCGUGCUUAACACAUGCAAGUCGAACGAUGAAGCCGGAGCUUGCUCUGGUGAAUUAGUGGCGAACGGGUGAGUAACACGUGAGUAACCUGCCCUUGACUCUGGGAUAACUGCUAGAAAUGGUAGCUAAUACCGGAUACGACCCUCGGAGGCAUCUCCAGGGGGUGGAAAGAAUUUCGGUACAGGAUGGACUCGCGGCCUAUCAGCUAGUUGGUGAGGUAAUGGCUCACCAAGGCGACGACGGGUAGCCGGCCUGAGAGGGUGACGGGCCACAAUGGGACUGAGCCACGGCCCAGACUCCUACGGGAGGCGGCAGUGGGGAAUAUUGCACAAUGGGCGCAAGCCUGAUGCAGCAACGCCGCGUGAGGGAUGACGGCCUUCGGGUUGUAAACCUCUUUUAGUAGGGAAGAAGCGAAAGUGACGGUACCUGCAGAAAAAGCACCGGCUAACUACGUGCCAGCCGCCGCCGUAA